UCAGGACACGACGGAUAAGCGAACCCGAGUUAUCCCGGGUUGGCCCCGCACGGUGCUCUGUUUUGGACGAGCACCAUCAGGACUGACCCUCUGUGUAUUAUGUAGAAUUACUCCUCGGAUAGCGCUAACUCCCUAUGCAUUUCAGUUUAACAGAAUUAUUAUGUUGGGCAAAUGUAGUACCACUGUUGGGCCUUGCGAGACCAGCUUUAAUCUAAAACAAAUUAUCAAUGGGGUCCCCAUAACAACCCCGAUCGUGUUAGGAGCACUCAAAUAUGGAACAUAACACCAGUAGCCAAAACUAAGGGAGCAAAGGUGGAACAAAACACCAGGCUAGAAAGGUCCAUUAAAUUAAAUAGCAUUUAAUAGGGUGAUAUAACAAGGAACCAUGAUAUCAUAAUCGAUAGGCAACGGUAAACUAGCAUGGCAAUGAUAGUAAUGGUAUCUGGGGAAAUGGUCAUCUUGCCUGAGAUCCCGCUUGAAAGAAGAAUGACUCCGUGAAGCAGACGAACCAAUGUAGACGAACAUGUCCUCAAUUUUCGACACGCUUGCGGAACUCUAUCGAGACGGAGGAAACCGGAAACAAGAAUCAACACACGAAAUUCACCAUACGAUGCACAACACAAAUGAUGCAUGACCAGCUCAAUAUAUGCACGACAUGGCAUGGCAAUUCACAACACUCAAACACUACACAUUAAGUGAAGUUCAAUAUGCAACGAGUUGCAUAUUGACGAAACUCUACGUAUAAUUAUUUAGUUCUAUCCCGAUUAGAUACACGUCAAUAUUAAAUGUGGUUAAACAUGGAAAGAGGUGAAACGCAAUUACUCUACUUAUCUAGGCAUUUUAAAUGAGGUCAGAAAUGACAUAGUAUCUCCGAGACGACCUCACAUGUUAAUUUACAAUUCCAUUCAGAUCUGAACUAACACAUUUAAUUAGUUGUUAAACAACAAAACAAAUAGGUUCACGUGUUUCAACGCGUCGUUACAAGAAAUUUACGCAAAGAGAGCAUCUCCAACGGAGCUACGGUUCAAAAGAUACGGACCCCGCAAGAUAUGAUGGCAUGAAUGAGAAAUGUGUGCAACGACAGUCACGAGCACUUCAAAACAUACAACCAGCAAGAUAAAAUAAAACUACACGAGAUUCUAAGAAAGUUUCAUAUAGGACACGAACAAAACGGAGCUACGGUUCAAAAACUACGAGCUAAACAAGAAAUCACUACAAUCUGCCAAAUUUAGCCACAUAGCAUUUUCUACACCCCACAACUACGAGCUACACAAACCCAAUAUGUUCAAUCAAGGCAUGAGACGACAGAGGGCAAGAAGCACUACAACAUUCAACUAACAAGAACUAGCAUGGAAGCAUGGAUCACUAGGAAAAGAAGUCACAAAACGGUUUCUCAAACACAGUUUCACACUUGUGAAAAUAACAGUUUAUGAAACUGCAAUUUUUGAUCUGAAGGCAUAUUGACAGCAGCAAAACCAUAAGCUACAGGACUUCAAAUGGCAUGAAAAUUCAUAGCAUGCUAUAGAAUCACAAAGUCUACAACUAACUUCGUUGCAUCAACCUCAAAAGAGCUACAGAUCACAAGAUAUAAGCAAGACAAGACAGAAAAAAAAUAUAGCAGAUUUCAGACUUAGAAAUAUUUCAGCACCCCUAAAACAACACUAUUUCCUAGCAAGUAAAGAACAAGUAAACCACACCUAAACAUGGAUUUCUAUUGCAACUAAAAUUACCAGGGCCUAGACUAAACAUCAAAGGGCAAAUCUCUAGUUGACAACUCCUUCAAACGAAGCACGGAAUAAAUCCUACGAAAUAGACAAGAGGGCAACAUGGCAAAAUAUCACGCGAACUAACUUGCUCAAAAGCUAAAACUAAUUGCACAGAUAAAUCCUAUGAAUUUUUCUACCCCGAAAACAUAUAUAAUAUGUGGGGUACNNNNNNNNNNNNNNNNNNNNNNNNNNNNNNNNNNNNNNNNNNNNNNNNNNNNNNNNNNNNNNNNNNNNNNNNNNNNNNNNNNNNNNNNNNNNNNNNNNNNNNNNNNNNNNNNNNNNNNNNNNNNNNNNNNNNNNNNNNNNNNNNNNNNNNNNNNNNNNNNNNNNNNNNNNNNNNNNNNNNNNNNNNNNNNNNNNNNNNNNNNNNNNNNNNNNNNNNNNNNNNNNNNNNNNNNNNNNNNNNNNNNNNNNNNNNNNNNNNNNNNNNNNNNNNNNNNNNNNNNNNNNNNNNNNNNNNNNNNNNNNNNNNNNNNNNNNNNNCCCUACACGCAAAAAUACCUAUGACUACUCUAAAAUACGUGGCAAAGGGUUCCUAAAACAUGAACAUUUCUACUACGGAUCUCGAACAAUCCGGACACGCGCGAAAAAUAACUACAAGCAAUAAACCUAUUGAGACAACACGUAAAACUAUGCAUUAGGCACUUCAAACAAUUACGCAAGUUGCAAAAUCGUAUUCUACGCGAGAUUCUACACAAAAACCAUAUGCUACACGUCGCGAUUCGACUUACCGUUAAUAAACUACGGUCGAUUUAAUAUACGUCUAUUAUCUCGAAUUUAAUUAAAUUCUGNNNNNNNNNNNNNNNNNNNNNNNNNNNNNNNNNNNNNNNNNNNNNNNNNNNNNNNNNNNNNNNNNNNNNNNNNNNNNNNNNNNNNNNNNNNNNNNNNNNNNNNNNNNNNNNNNNNNNNNNNNNNNNNNNNNNNNNNNNNNNNNNNNNNNNNNNNNNNNNNNNNNNNNNNNNNNNNNNNNNNNNNNNNNNNNNNNNNNNNNNNNNNNNNNNNNNNNNNNNNNNNNNNNNNNNNNNNNNNNNNNNNNNNNNNNNNNNNNNNNNNNNNNNNNNNNNNNNGAAUUUAAUUAAAUUCUGAAAAUCCUAAAUAACUAACGGGCCUAACGGGGCGCAAGAUAAUUAACACCGCAUUUGUGCAAAAAAAAGAGGGCUCGGGUGUUGGCUCACCUUGGGCCGGCCCGGUCGGUGGAGAGGCAUGCCGGCUCGGUCAACAGCUCAGUUGACCAACGGGCUGCGCGGCCGAUGGCCGGCUCGGCUGCUGGAGCAGUCAAGGCCCACGCGGGGCGAGGCCGCUGCUGGCCUGGAUCGAGCAGAGGGGCGACUGGGCCGGCUGCAGCAGCCCAUGGGGUCGGCGCGGUCAACCGCCUCUCCCCCGAUCUGGUCCUCGCUCCAGAUCGCGGCGGACGAGCGCUCGCCAGCGGGAGGACCCGCGCGGGAGAUGCCCAGCGGCACUGCAGUAGGCGAUGGCAGGCAGGCAGACGCGGACACAGGGGACUGGGUGACGGCGGCGCACGCGGGAGGCGAGCAGGCGGGGCGGCGGGGCACGCCGGCGGCGAGGAAGCUGUCGGCCGCGCGGGAUCUCGCGUGGGGGGCAGAACGGGGCGGCGCACCGGCGAGGCACGGGCCGUGGCCGGCGCUGGAGGCGCAAGGCGGCGGGGGCUGGCAGGGCAAGGGCCGGCGGCGGCGCGAGGGAGUUCUGGGGCUCGGGUGCUGCUGCGGGGUUGGCCACCUCGGGCAGGGACUCCAUGGAAUGGAGCUCGGGCUAGCGGCGGCGACGGCUCGGGCGGGCCCUACGCGGGAGGAGAGAGGAGAGAGACUGGAGGUGGCGGCUGCUGGGGUAGGUGGGGCAUUUAUUUAUAGGAAGGGGCUAGGUUAGAGGGUAUCUGGAGUUUUUCGACCGUCCGAUCGCGAUCGUACGGUCCAAUCGAAGAGGCGGGUUAGCGUUUGCUGUAAAGAGUAGUUAUCCGGAGACGAGAGGGAAAACACGCGACCCGGCAACGAGUUUUAAAAUAUCUAAAGACGUCGGACGAUAGACCGACUACGGUGCCGCUACGGUCGACCGUUCAGGUACCAGAUGGACUCCGAUCGCGAUGAAAUUCGACAAGCGGCCUAGCUAUAUUAAAAUAAGACCGCACAUCAAAUCUCAACCCAAACAGAGAAAGUUUUUAAACACACUUUGAAAACAAGAUUUAGACGAUGCCGCGGGCGCGGGCGUGUAUGGUCAGGCUCAGAACGAACAACGACGAGAACCGNNNNNNNNNNNNNNNNNNNNNNNNNNNNNNNNNNNNNNNNNNNNNNNNNNNNNNNNNNNNNNNNNNNNNNNNNNNNNNNNNNNNNNNNNNNNNNNNNNNNNNNNNNNNNNNNNNNNNNNNNNNNNNNNNNNNNNNNNNNNNNNNNNNNNNNNNNNNNNNNNNNNNNNNNNNNNNNNNNNNNNNNNNNNNNNNNNNNNNNNNNNNNNNNNNNNNNNNNNNNNNNNNNNNNNNNNNNNNNNNNNNNNNNNNNNNNNNNNNNNNNNNNNCGGGCGCGUGCGAGUGCGGUCAGGCUCAGAAUGGACAACGACGAGAACCGGCAACUAACAACGGAUGCAACUUUUAAAACUAGCGGCAAUGGGAUGCCGAUGCAAUGCAGAGGAUGCGCAUGAUGCGAUGAUGAUGCGACAAAUAUAAUUAAACACACGGCAGAAACGGAAUAAUGGGGGGAAUCUUCUGGGGCGUCGGUCUCGGGCUGUCACACCUGAGAGGCCUCCCGCUUGGUCCCUCGCGAGGGCCUUGCCUUGGGUGGUUUCGUGCCUGUUGGUUUUUUAUCGUUGAAGUGGGCCAGCCGUGGGCCGUAGGAAGGCAGGUGUGGGUACCCCCGUUCCCAGAACGCCGACAAUAGCCCCCGGGCCCAAGGCGUGCUUGAGCUGGCUUCUGGGCAAAGCCUUGGGGUGGCCCCAAGCGUCGCGGACCCUAAUUGCGUGCGGGCCAGGCCCUAUAAACGGCAAACUAAAAGCUUGUCUUUCGAACUUCUCCGCGCUAGACCAGCCUCAGCAAGGCUCGUUGAACCAUUUGACCCGCAUCCGCGAGCCGCCUUCGUCUCUCAUCGAUUUCGCCGUCGGUUCUUCCUCUUGUGCGAUCUCGGCUCCCUCCUCCGAGCCCUCGCGCGCCACGUCGUUUUCCCCCUCAUUCUCCUCGCCAUACCUCCGAAAGGGGGAAAAGCGGAGGCUCGCGGGGUCCGACCUUCUCGACGGUGCCCCGGCCCGUGUUGGGCCGGUCAACGGUGGUGAACUUCGAGGGGUUGGAGAAGAUCCAACUGGUAGUCGCGGCCGGCUCCAAUGAGUGGGGAGCCACCAAGAUCUGGCCAGGUUCAUGGCCUCGGGGCAAGAUGGCGACCCCCGCGGUUCCCCUUCAUAUCCACGCUCUUCUUUCUCGUGUACUGCUGAUACGUCCCAAACAUAUCUAUAAUUUCUGCUUCUUUCGUGAUCUUUUGGGUAACAUUGUUAUAUGUUUUGCUACACUUUUAUAUCAUUUUACACAUAUUUGGACUAACCUACUAACGCAGUGUAACCAAUGCUAGUUUUUGUCUGCUGAUGUCUAUUUUGCAGGGGCUUUUACCAUAUUUUCCGAAGCCUAAAAAAAUCCAAGAAAAAUAUAUAAAAAAUUAGCGUAACGGAAGUCUUCCAGAUCACCGAAGAUGGGCCAGGGGGGCCAGGGGCCUCCUAGGCGACCUACGGGUGCGGCUUGGCCCUAGGUCGCGCCAAGAGGCCGCCUGGGAGGGUCCCACCUCUUCACGUGCCCUCAUUUGACCUAUAUUUACUCCUUCACGACAAAACCCUUCCAUCACAUCGAGAAUCGUGAAUUUCGCCAUAGUUCCACCGCCGCAGCGCUUCCGAGAUCGGGAGCGUGAGGAGACCUCUUCCCAGCACCCUACCGGAGGGAGGGUUGACCUCCGGAAGCUUCUCCACCGCCAUGGACGCUUCUCGAACCUGCCGUGAGUAGUCCUCCUUGGACCUUGGAUCCAUGACCAAUAGCUAUGUGAUGUCUUCUCUCCAAUCUUGUGCUUCAAUGAUUAGUCCUUGUGAGCUGCCCUACAUGAUCAAGGCAUCUAUGUAAUUCUCUUGCUAUUGCUAUGCUCGGUUUGUUGGGAUCCGAUGGAUUAUGAGAUUAUGUUCAGAUUAUUAUGAGUUAUAUAUCUGAUUAUCCUUUUAUAUUAUGUUCUUUAGUGAUUCAUGCAUGUUCUUCGUUGUUAUUUAUUGCUUUGGCCGAGUAGUAGAUUGUAACUCCAAGAGGGAGCGUUAUGCAUGAUUGUGGGUUCAUGCCCCUCGAUGUCUAGCUUGAGUGAUAGAAACAUGAGACUAGGGGAUGUGAUGUUGCCACCAGGGAGAAAACAACGGUGCUUGUGACCACGGUUGCAAGGAUUGUUUACCUUACGCAUAGUUCGUUAAUGCAAUUGUCUGUUGCUUUGAUUUUACACUUUGGGUGGGGCUUACAACUUAAUACCGGCGAGAUGUUCUCGAUAGAUAUCUCAAGGUGGAUGAUUAGUAAGUAGAUGUUGAUGAAUAAAAGGUCUACUUGUCUUUGCGUACUGUCCAUUACUACUGAACCUCUAACUAUCAAGUACCAUAAUUAGCAUUGUGGUGCGUUCAUAAUUCUGUCAAUUGCCCAACUAUGAUUUGUUUACCCAAGAAUAGUUGGUUAUCGUCUUUUGAAAGAGAGACAUCACUAGUGAACAUCAUGUGACUCCGGUCCAUAUCACCAUCAUUGUUUACACCUCCAUCAUUUACCGUUUUCAUUUACUUUUCCGUUGCAAUCACUAUUAGUUUUCCCGCUUGUGUUUUAAUCUUUGCAAACUACAAGGCCAGAGAGAUUGACAACCUCUCUGUACUCGUUGGGAGCAAAGUUAUUUGUUGUGUGUGCCGGUCCACGCCUUCUGCUAGCGUCAGGGCGGAAGACACCUACUUGUUGAUCCUAGGAGUCCUCCUGCUUCGAUAAACCUUACAGUCUCCGAGUAAGGGAAAACUUGCUGCUGACUACAUCUCAACCUUCCACUUGGGGUAACCAACGAGGAGUGAGAAGUAUAUGCAUCAUCUCGUCAUCAACUAUCGCCGUUCUCGAGCUUGCACAUUGCAGUGCUUUCGCAUUACCAGAUCCACGCGCUCCACGCUGACCCCAGUUCUUCGGUUCUCCUCUCGGCCUUCGCAUUCUUGUGCGAGGCCUUUGUUGGUGUUACCCCUUCCGUGGCAUUGCUUCGCCACUUCUUCUCCCUUGAAUUGGUCUCCGAGGAGCAGUGCUCCGGGUGCGCUUCCUUGAAGACGGCCGACGCAUCGGUCCCGGGGGCCCUCGACGUCGAGCUCCUCCCCGAAGCAGAGGGGUUCCAGCGACAGUGGGUGUAGGUCGAAACUGCCGAGGCCGAAGCCCUGUUCGAGCCCCCGUCGAUCCCCGCAACGUCGAACCGGGGGUGGAUGCGCAAGGAGUUUAAUGACCCCCGGCUCAUGCCGGUCCUGACCCGGCUGGAGAAGCUGAAGCGGGCGGGGGUGACGAUGGCGAUGGUGGUGCCGGAGUUUAUCUAUCGGCGGAUCGCUCCUCUUCAGCGCCACUCCCGUCCGAUGUGGGCCUACACCAGACCUCGUGACCCAAUGAGGAUCCAGGUCCUGCCUCUCUCCCCUGACAUCUUGCGUGAGUUUCUCCGUCGGCUGACUGGUAGCGAUCCUGACGAGCUUCCCGAAAAUGACCUCCCGUUGUAUAACUUCAACGCCCCGAAAGCUCUCGUCGCGGAGAUGCCGCUCUUCGAUGAGUGGGGUUCCUCCCUGGGGCGAACAUGCACCCCCGGGGGGCCUCGACCCUUGGGGUUCAAGCCCGCAAAAACUCUGGUCGUGACGCCCCUCCCGCAGCUGGGGUGGGCGGCGUAUCGCCGCAGCCCCCCCCCCUCUGGUGGUGACGACCGAUCGACGGUGGAAGUCGCUGCCCCUGCCUUCAACAUUCAGCCGUGGGUCGCCGGGUCCCCACGCCAGGCCACCCGCAUCGGCCGGAUGAGGGGGUCGCCUGAGGGCGGCCUCCCCUCGACGCGGUGGGCUCCGGUGAAAAAGAAGUGGGUCGCCGUAGACGAGUAAGCGCCCGUACUCUCCUUCGUCCUUUCUUUCUGUGCCUCCCUUCUGAGCCUUUGUUCUACAGGCUCUUCACCGGUGACAGGGGGCAGGUCGGUGCUGCCCGCCCCUGAGAUCGCCGAGCAUCUUGUGGUUUCUUCCCUUGCACCCCGCGGGGUUCAACCUCCAGAGUCCGUUGCGCGUGAGCCUCCUGCGGUCUUCCUCGCCCGCGGCCUCCGGCUCCCAAGAAGAGUGCCAUUCCCCUCGCCUACGGCCCCUCCUAGGGUCGUGUUGCGCCUCCCUUCCGGACGCCUUUUGCUUGGUGACAUGGGGCCUCAGGGGGCGCUUCCUUCCGAACAAGCGCAUGCUCGUGAGCCCCCAUCCCCCGAGCAUGGAUUCGGGCUGAGAGACUCCUCGCGCGCCUCUCCCGUUCGCCAUCUAGAAAGUGAGAGCUCUUAUUGGCCACUCGAGCCUGUUGGAGGUUUGCGUGCCGCACCGGGGGGCUUGCUCCACACCGUUGUCGGCACGCUUCAGCGUCUAGGAGCGGGGCUUGCCAACAAUGAAGUUCGCCUGGAGCAUGAGGUCCGGCACCUUGCGUCGGGGUGGCGCCAGCUUGAAGUUGCCGUGAACCUCGGCCGUCUGCAUCGUGAGCGCGCCCGCGCGAAGGUAGAGGGGUCCCUUGUCGCGGCGGCGGAAGCCCGCGAGCUUGCUCUCACCGAGGCUCGGGAGGCUGAUUGUGGGGGCAGGGCCUCCGAGGAUCGCCACGGGGAGCUUUGCGCCCUCAACGCCGAUCUUGAAGAGCAGGCUCGGUUGAGGGCCACCCUAGGGGGUCCGCCUGCUAAGUUCUUCCCUGCUAGCGUGGGCUUUCGACCGUUCGCCGAUUCGCUCGCGCUUGUAGAGGUGGAGCAGAGCCUGGAGAAGGAGCGUCUGGAGGUGAGGGAGCGUCAGGUGUCGCUUGCUGAGGGAUCCCUUGCCUCUCAUGAGGCGAAGCUUCAGGAGGACAUCGACAGGGGCGUGUGUGACAUCCUCAGAUUUUGCUACAUUGAUGAUUGUAAUUAAGCUACAGUGAUCACACGCUAAUGAUGCCACGUCACGGUGAUUAGCAUCCUUGCUCUCGCGAUUGUUAGUUGAAACCGAGUUAAAAUUCAAAACAUAAAAUUAAAGUCGAACGAGAAAGGUUUUAUGUUGUUAAAGUAAAAACGUCGGGGAGUUAUAAAAAUUCUCUAACGAAAUAUAAAUGUGAAUCAGGCACUUUUAAAAUUACCAGGUAAUCCCUAUAUAUUUAAAAGAGAAGCUUUGUGUAAAUUAAAUAAAGGGAAUGAAAGUAAAGAAAAAUAAAAUAAAUAAAUAAAAGGAAAACAACCCCCCCCCCCGGCCAACUAAUCCAAGUGGCCCAGCUGGCCACCUUCCCAUCGGCCCACUACAGCCCCCUAGGGGCUAAACCUAGCGAGGCCACACUCCUCCCGUUUCCCUGCCCCCGCCGCCAGGAGACGAGGGGCUCCCUCGUCGCUACCCCCACCUACCCACGUCGCCCGUAACCCCUCGUCCCACCUCUCCCUCACGAGGCCACCCUUCGCCAUAGCGCUCCACCUCUCUGGUUUCGAUCUCCCUCUACACCUCGCCGUAACCGGUGCCUGAAACACCAUCCCGUCGCCCCAGAUCCCCUCCCCUCGCCGGCCCUCCCCCCCCCCAUCGGCUGGAGACCUCCAGCNACUCACCCCUAGACCCCCGCUGCCCCACCUCGAGCUCCCUCCCCAUCCCGCAACCCACGGCACCCCCUCGCCCUGUAUCCCAUCGAUCUCGGUCGCUCCUCUCCCCCCUUGCUACGCCGGUUGCCGCCUCGCCGCCGCUGGUGUCGUCCCGCGGCGCCACCACACCGCCCCGGCGCCCUGCCCCGCCUCCACCGGACCGUCACGUCGUCAAGCUCCCCGUCGUCGGCCCCUCCACACCGUCUCCAUCACAUCGGCCACCACCGCGUCAGCCCUCCACAACCGGUCGGCUCGAGUCCUCGCCUCCUCGCCGGACAACCUCCUCAACGUCGCCGGCCUCCUCAUCUCGUCCCCGACGGCUCCAUCGAGCCUCGCCAAACCCGCCCCCCUACAAUGUGGGUGAGAACACCCCUCUCGCUCUCCUGGUUCCAUUCCGACGAUCGCCGCCGCGUUCCGGCGUCGUUAGACUCAUGUAGGAGGAGGUGGACCUUGCCUCCUCUCUCUCUCUCUGUUUAGGUUCCUGUUGUUAGCAGAGAGAUGUCCAGGAGGUUAGAGAAGAGUUAGAUAGAAAAUAAAAUAAAAAGGAAUGUAUGUAUUAUGUAUUAUGUAUGUAUUACGUUUGUAUGUAUCGUGUAUGUAUUGCGUAUGUGUAUAUGCAUGUACAUAUAGAGAAUACGUUAUUUGUAUGAAUAUGUGUAUGGGUGUUUUGUGUGUAUGUGGCCUAAGCCACUUACCGGUGGGGCCAAACCUCCACUCCCACUGACAGGGAGACCCCACACGCUGUUAAAAUAAAAUAAAAUAUAAAACUAAAAAUAUGUUUUUAUUAUUAUUAAAUAAUUAAAUAAAUAGAUAUAUUGUUUAAUUAAUUAGUUAAUUAAUUAAAUAGAUCAAUUAGAAUAAUUAGAGUAUGACACAUGGGUCCCUCACUAAAUUAAUAUGAUUAAUUACUAUUUAAUGUUAAUUAAAAACUGAGUCUAUGACGCGCGGGACCCACUGGUCAGUUGACCAGUCAACUGCUGAUGUCACCAUGACAUCUUGCUGAUGUCAUAAUAGCAUUUAAUUUAAUUAAUUAAAUCUAUUUUUAAUUCCUAAAUCAUUAAUAAAACUAUCAAAAUUAAUAUUAAAUAAACCGUAAGUCAGAUCAAAAUAUUUUCAACAUGAAAGUUGAUCAGCACAACGAGAUGAACCCGGAUACACGGUCCAUUCGUUCGUCACGCGUCCCUAGCAUAUCAAACGUGGAACUUUUUCAUCGUUUUAAUCUCACCGGUAGUAGCCCGAGACUCUGAAAAUAUCGUUAGAUAUUCUUCCGACCCGUCUGCGACAUACGUUGUUGCGUUAGCUCAUGCCUAGCCUGCUUUUUGCCAUGUCGAGCUUAGUGUUGCACUGUUGAUGUUAUUUAUUGUUUCGUCCCCCUCUUCUUAUCGGUAGACCCCGAGAUCGAUGAUGAUCCGGUGAUCGACUACUUCCCGGUCGAGGAUCCGUUUUGUCUAUAGAGCAACCAGGCAAGCAAACCCCCUUGAUCAUCCCUAUAUCGCCUAUGUCUUUCUCCCUCAUGCUUGCAUUAGUAUUUUGCUACUGUUGUAGUUAGCUCCUAUAUUUGAUGCAUAGCCUAUUUUUGAUGAACUGCUACUUUCAGUACUGUAUCUUUAAUCUGCUUAGUAUAGGUGGAGCGGUCAUCCCUUCUGACCCCGUAGUCCAGUUGCUCCGCUUUGAUUUCAAAUCUCGAUCCCUGUUCGACGAGCCAGACCCGACACAACACAUACACCCCCCUUAGUUGUACGACGCUACAGAGAUACUAUCGGGUACCGAGGGUGACACCUUGCUAAGUACUCCUGAUGAUAUCUCUGUAAUAUAGCUAGUCGGUCGUGGUUAUCGAGGGUGAUUCCUCAUUCACCAUUCCCGACGAUGCCCCUGUCGUGCAACCCCUCAAGUGUGGGACCCCCGAGGGUGAUUCCUCUAAGUCCACCUUGACGGAUACAUCGUUCGGAAUCCAACGAGGGUGAUACCUCGGAUUCCCCCUGAUGUUACAACCACACAGUUACUCAACCAUGUUACUGGGAUCAUUGGUGAUUAGUUGUUAGACGGGUGGAUUCCCACGAGAUUGUGUCGAUGGCCUAAUUAAAAUGAUAAUGGAUUUGGGUAUUUGAUCUGGGUUGGUUGGAGACCUUUUCGCACUAACCGGUUACGCGGGAAGAAUUAUGGGUACUCGACGUCGCGGUAUCAGCCGAAGCUUUUCAGAUGUCAGCAAUGUAGCGGCGCGCGCCCGAGUGGUCCCGAGAUGCAUCGCGCUUGUGAUUAAGGGAUGCUAGGACUGACAUCGGCCGCCCACGCAUCGUGUAGGAGCGCGAAGGGGAAGUGGGCCCAUGAACCCUUUGUGCUUAGGAAUUAGACCGGCGGCCUGGCCUCUCUGUCGAGUCUUAGGUGGGGCUGCGACGUGUCGAUAUUCCGAGGCCGGGCAUGACCCAGAAAAGUGUGUCCGACCAGAGUGUUAUCGAGCGUGACGGGAAAUGUGGUGCAGCCCUGUAAGGAUGAAAAUUAACUAUUCGAAUAGUCGUAUACACGGUUACAGGAUGACUUGGAGUUGUGCCCUGAUCUUAUACAACUACAAUUGUUACUUAAGUGGAAUUAGUUGCCUCGGGAUUGCUUCCUCGCAGGGAGUCGAGGGAGGAUCUCUGGGCGUGAUCUCAGUUUAAUAUUGCUACAACAAUAUGACUAUUAUUUGUGUUACACCUGUUCUACUCUCGUCUAUUGUUGCAUGACCCUGAAGAUGUUAGUCUUGGAUGGGACUAGGCCUUCUCUCUCUAUUCUCGCAUUGCUGCAGUCAGUCCACAUAUAACCACCCCCCCUUCUUUGAUACUGAUGCAUACUUAGAAUAGUUCUGAUGUAAGACUUGCGAGUACUUUGGAUGAGUACUCACCGUUGUUUUGCUCCCCCUUUGUCCCCUUGAUCCGUUGCUACAACCAGAUGAUGGAGCCCAGGAGUGGAGUUACCUGCCGAUGUCUGCCAUCCCGAUGGUGUCUUCUUCAUGGAGGCCGCUGAAGACCAGGAGUAGUUUAGGAGGUACCCAGGCAGGAGGCCUCGCCUCGUUCGAUCGUGUUUCUUUUGUGCUAGCCUUCUCUAAGGCACCCCAUGUGUAUGUCUGUACUCCGAUAUUUGUUGCUUCCGCUGACUCGUGUGUUUAUCGAGCUUUUGUAUUCUAGCGCUCAAGGCCCCUGGCUUGUAAUAUGAAGCUUGUAUUAUUUUAUUUGUGUAUAGAGUUGUGUUGUGAUAUCUUCCCGUGAGUCCUUGGGUUUGAUCGUACGCAUGUGCGUGUAUGAUUAGCAUACGAUUAAACCAAGGGCCUCACAAGUUAGUAUCAGAGCCGACUGCCUGUAGGUAGCCCCCUUUCCAACUCCUUGACCGAAGUUGAGUCUAGUGUUUGAAAAACUUUACUAACACUGAUGUUGUGGCUUACGAGCCCACAUCUCAAUUGGGUGGUAUUAGUAUCUUUUACUCCUUUCCUAUACUUUGGGCUCUACUCUCUCUUCUCUUUCGGGAUAAGAUUUUGCUAACUCUAACAUUAGGUUCUCGUAAAUACUUACUCCCGGAGAGCCCCCCAUGUCAGACGAUGGCUUGAUUCAUCAGAAGACUUCGAGGAUACUCGUUGAUGUUCUCUCGAGAACUUGUGCUCAUUGCUUCUGCUAUUUUCCUUCCAUCCGUCAACCACUAUGGAUGACUACAUACAAAUGGCAUUCAUAUUUUCUCUCCAAUUGCUCUUGUUUUACGGGAUACAACGAAUUAACUUGUCUAGGAUUCGUCCAUCAUCAGUUAUCAUGGGUUUCGGAAGUUCUUCGAACUGUUAUUCUAUCUUCCAGGAUCCUUAGUAGCCUAUUGCUCUUGACCUUCUCACCUGUUUGCAUUAUGGUUAAAUCCAUAUGUCUAUCCUCAUUCAUUAAAAUCCUUUGUGAUUUUCCUGUGAUCUUAUUGAUUCUACCUUUGUGUGAAUGCACACAAUCAUCUGCAGAUACUCAUGAAUUAUCUUCCGGCUCAGACGUCCUUCCAGACAGAGCUGGUUCUCGACAAAUCAACUGUGGUGGUUGUCCAUCUAAAUCCAUUCAGCGUACUUGUAUUUGAUCGGAGCAUCUCAUUAUGGUACACCAACCUGGAAAUCCUAAUUCCUUUGGUAAUUAAGUAUCAGUAUUUUUCAGAUGUUCUAUAACCCGAUGCAUUGCAUCCUACCUCCCUCUGAUUGAGUACAAAUCCUCACAUCAGGUCCUUUGUGGUACUGCCAGACCCAUUGUUGGGUUAUUAUCCGACGGCAUCCCUUACAUCCAAAAUUCUUGUGGUACUGUUCACCUGAUGCAUAAUGCCAUUGGUAAAUUGUGUUUUCUCCCUCUGACAAAUUGUAUCCUAUGCUUUUGUCCGCCAUGCUCUAUUGUCAAGCAUGUGUUGAUUACUCUUGAAGUUUCUGGUAUAUGUUCCUAAGAUGCCCCGAUGGGUUGAACCUAUGCCUUCCUAAAACAAUAUGAUCCGACGAGUUUUCACGAGUCUUACUAUUCUGGUGUUUUGCCAGAUAAUCUUUCCAAACUACAACCUGAUCAAAGGCGAGGAGUAAAUGGCAGGUGAUGCAUUGAUGAAGUGGGAGUCGACCUUGAACUUUGUGUUCAUGCCCAUGGAAAGGACGUUGAUCUUACCAUAGAAGCUUCUCGAAUCAAUAAUCAUUCAUUCUGUGGUUUAAAUCUCGUAUCGGUGAUCUUGUCAUUUGCAAUCGUGGUUCCGACCGUGUUGUCCUACCUUGAUUUCAUUCUUAGACGAGUUAAAGUACUUGUCUUCUUUAGAUCAACACAUCGGUCCAAACCUUAAAGUUGAUCUACCUCCGAGUAUUAUUCCUUGUAGCUCGAGGAUAUCGCAGAGCUAUGAAACUUCUUGUGAGCUCCUCAUCAACUAUGAUAUUUUCCUUAAUUCCAGUUUCCUCGUGUUUGAGUUGUUGGACACGCGAGUACAUCGAUAACUGAAUCGAGUACGCAUUGCGAUCCAACAAUUUUUUGUAAUCUUCCUUGUUUACGAGUUUGUACUCGAUCAUGUCAUUCCAAGUUGUUAAACUACAUCAUCAUCGUCAUGGUGAAGCUUGAACAUACUAUCUAUGUCCUCCAUCUCUGGAGCACAUAUCCAGCUGUGCGUUAAGCUUGCAUCGAGCUUUCCACAUCAUGUUGGUUGUCUUAAAAGGCAAUCUCAAUUCUAAGCUAGUAGUCUUAUCUGUGAUUCCGGCAACCUCUUGCUUCAUCAUUCCCUUGCUUGAUGUCGUCGCUGAUCGAUUACAUCUUCAUGAAGCUUCUCGACAAAUGUGUCGUGAUUAUCAUCGGCAUCCCGAUCUCUUGUUGGGUAUCAAUCGAAUGCAUGAUGAGAAAUACCAUCCUUGCCCCUCGAUGAUAUGUGUUAUCGUCGACAACCUUCUUUCCUUCCCUCCUACACAAACAUGUAUGUGUUUUGUGUUGUCCCCUGUGUUCCUCGCUAUCCAGCUUAUGUUAUCUUCUACCUUGGGGUAUUAACAUCUUUAUGUCAAGAAUGUCGUAAAAAUUGGAAACGUCUUAAGAAUUCUUGAUAUAGUAAUACCUCUCGCCAUAACCAUUGAUUUAUUGGUCCCGAGUUGUUUCUAACCGGUAUACCGACAAGUGAACUCUAAUGUGUGAUUCCAAUACUUCUGUCAACCCUAUCGACUUGAGGUUAAUAACUGAUUGUUUCCUCCUUGGUGUCUUGGGUGUUGACUCAUCAUUUUAUCAUUGGUUAUGCUACUCAAUCCGUAUUUCCGAGUGCACCCUUCGACCAAUGUUUAAUUGUUGUUGUUCCCUCGAGCAUACGGCAUUAUACCAUUUGUUUUGACAAAUGCUAUCUCCAUGAUAUUAUAAUUUUGGAAAUUCAACCCUGUCAAAAUCCUGAGGGGUUGUUGCUGAGCCCGCCGGCCGCACCCUCAAGUUCUCCAUGGUUCGUGAUGAAGCUUUUGAAAGCACUACCUUUGUGCCAAACUCAUGAAGGAUAUGUUUGAUAUAGGAAGUGGAUUUUCCCAAAGUUCAUGUGCACUCUUUCCGUCGUGAAUAUGUGCAAGUUUUGUUUCGCUCCCUCUUGGGAAAUACCAAAUCAUUCACGCAUGUGCGAAGUGUUAUAUAUUUUGAAGGUUUGUUAUCUUCACUUCAUAUAACUUUUCUUAGCACGCCAAGCCACUGACUGAUUUGAUCAAGGAAAAGAGGUUUCUUCUUAAGAGCUAAUCGAGGCUUACACAAGGGCCUUGAUAUCCUCGAUGAUGGUUUCCAAAUGAGAACUCAAUUGCAUUUUGACGUAAGAAUUCUAUGUGGGCACGAAUGUCUUGACAUUGUGUUCAUAUGUCUUACAAUCGAACUCAUGAUUCAAGAAUUGCUUGUGUAACUCAUAUCAUGAGACUCUUGUAAGACUUGCGAGUACUUUGGAUGAGUACUCACCGUUGCUUUGCUCCCCCUUUGUCCUCUUGAUCCGUUGCUGCGACCAGAUGAUGGAGCCCAGGAGUGGAGUUUCCUGCCGAUGUCUGCCAUCCCGAUGGUGUCUUCUUCAUGGAGGUCGCUGAAGACCAGGAGUAGUUUAGGAGGUUCCCAGGCAGGAGGCUUCGCCUCGUUCGAUCGUGUUUCUUUUGUGCUAGCCUUCUCUAAGGCACCCCAUGUGUAUGUCUGUACUCAGAUAUUUGUUGCUUCCGCUGACUCGUGUGUUUAUCGAGCUUUCGUAUUCUAGCCCUCGAGGACCCUAGCUUGUAAUAUGAAGCUUGUAUUAUUUUAUUUGUGUCUAGAGUUGUGUUGUGAUAUCUUACCGUGAGUCCUUCGGUUUGAUCGUACGCAUUUGCGUGUAUGAUUAGCGUACGAUUAAACCGAGGGCGUCACAGCGUGGCGGAGGCUCGACGUUCCCUACUUCUUGACUAUCGUGCAAAGCUGAGGCUCCAGGAGUCCCGCUUCCGCGAGCACCCAUGGUCACCUGAAAAACGAGGUCGAUGCCCUCCGAAAAAGGUUGGAUCAGGAAGUGAAACGUCGGCAGGUCACACUAGACGCCCAGGCUACUGUGGAAGGUAAACUAUCUCUUCUUUACAAACAGGUGAAAGGCGCGGCUUCCCAGGUUGGAGAGGCCUCUGAAGAGGCGAUCUAUGCUCGCGGCCUCCAGCUUGAACGCUCCCUGAUGUUCCAAUCCCUCAAGAGGAGGGCCUCCCGGGCUUUGAGUGACAUCUGUGGCAAGGGUGUCUCGAGCCCCCGGUCCCCCACGACGUUGGGUACUUGGGCUUCUUCUUCCGUGUUGUGGAAUGUCUUGAGGCAGGUGCCGAGAGGGCCCACGCGCUCAUAGAGGAGAAGAGUCGUGACCUCUUGGGUCAAGCAGCGUCGGAAGUCUUCAGCCACCUUCUUAGCCUCGACCCAAAUUUUGACUUUGCCGCAGUGUUGGGCCCGGUGUCGGAGACGAUCCGCACCGCCCUGGCCGAAUGGGUGAAGAUCCAUGUGGAAGACCUGGUGACUAGGCUUGCUCCCGAAGGCUGCGGCGUGAGCUCUAGCGACAAUGUGUCCUCCUGAUCCGCCGCCUUGUUCUCCUGAUAGGGUCAUGUAUUAGGUUUGACAGCAACUUUCAUGUAUAUGGAGGGUACCUUUCAAUGUGUUCUCUAAAGACGUGGUAUGCACAAUGCUUUCCUCCUGGCCGUGGCCGCUGCGAGCCCCGUGUUGUCGUGACGCUGACGGUCUAGCUCGCGAGCAUGGCUCCGUUCGUAGCGCUUCCUCCCUGCUUGUGGGGCGGUUUGAGGACCCUUUCAUCACUCUGUGUCUGCAGGUCCCGGUCCCGCACAUUUCCCUGCCACCGUGGGGCGCAACCUGUUACCAAGGUUGUUCCUCACGGGGCAAAUCCCCGACGCCCUGGGUGCCGACAUGAGACACCUGGGUGGCCGAGUGGCCUUGCGACUGGUAUGGCUCCUGAGGCAUGUUGCUCAGGAACCCCCCUUGACACUCAAACCGCUCUACGUCGACAGGCCCCAGUCCCGCACAUUUCCCCAUCACCAUUAGGUACCGCCAAGAACGGCGCGUCUAAGGGGCAGGGCCCCGCCUCCCCUGACACCGACCGGAAUUCCAGGACGGCAUCAAAGAGGGCAAGUGGCCUUAUGACCGGUAAGACUCCUGAGGCGCGCCUCAGGAGUCCCCUUUGGCGCUCGAGCGAUUCCCCAUUCCGCCCCUCUUGUGGUUGCCUCGGGAGGCCCGGCGGUCUCCCGAGGUUCCCGCGAAACACCAAUCAAAACAAAGGGAGAAAGAGAAAUCGAGUUUGGUAAAACGAGAGAACAUAGAGAAGAGAUCCCCGCCCUUCUUUUCUUUUCAAAACAUCAAGCAAAGAGAUCUUCAAGCCUUUGAUAGCUCAAAAUACAGAAGGGGAGCCCCUUGAGGGUCACAACUUGAAACGCAAGAAAGGAACGAGAAAACGGCCGCGUCCGGCACCUAAGAUAUUCUCCGCCUCCGUCUCCCCCCAACGUGGAGCAUAGGGCUUCCACUCGGCAUGGGAUGGACCCCUCCGCGUCCUCGGGGGGCCCUGGGCGUAUAGAGCCUCGGCUUGUUAUUACGUCAGAGUGUCACGUCCUCGCGAGUGUCCCUACCCCCGAGGCAUAGGCGCCUGAUUCCUUUUGGGUCAUUGGUGGACCGUGUUGAUUACAUCCGUCUUCUUCCCAGCGCGGAGCGUAGGGCAACCACUAGGCGUGGGAGGGACCCCUCCGCGUCCUGGGGGGGCGUAUACAGCCGAAGCUCGUUAUUGCGUAAGAGUGUUACAGGGUGAAGUAGGUCCCGGAAGGAUUGAAGGACGAUCCAGAGGUGCUACAGGUUGAUGCAGAUCCCGAGGACGCUUCGGGGGCCCCAUGCCUCACAGGCGCGUGCCCCGCUCGUGGUCCACGGGCUCGUAGCGGCGUGGCGUGGUCCGCCUUGAGCGAGCCCUCGAGCGUGGGAGGAGCCCCCAGCGCUCGCUGGCCAAAGAGCUCGCCCAGAUGGUAGGUCCUGAGUCCCUGGGGUGUUGCCCGAGCACGCCUCGCUCGGGCCCCCAAGUUCCCACAUUGGUACCCUAGGCCAUGCCCCCAGGCCGGGCUAGCCCAACCUGAGUGCAACGGCAGGUACCUGAACACCCGCCUGCGAUCGAACGAAGCCCGCACUGGCAACAUGGUUGUGUGUUCCACCCUCAGUCCCGAGGCGACGUCGCGCGCCCCGGAGGCAGGGGUGGAUAUACCACCCCCGGCCUCCAGGUUAGGAUCGUAUGGCCCAGGAACAUGGGCGUGUGCUCCACCCUCCGUUCCUAGGCUGGGGCCUCUCGGCUGGGACACAAGGGUGCGUCCACCCUGUCCCAGGCGAGAGGUCCCUGGUCCCCAGACCCAAACGUCUGCCUGAAGCAGCUCCCGGCCAGCAGGUGUGCCCCGCGAGGACACCCGCGCUGGGCGUCCCCGCGAAGCCACCCCCACGGGCCACCCCCGCGGUGGUGUUCAUACCUGUUUGCGCGGGGGUUGCCUACGGGGUCGCGCGCGUGCCUCCUGCCGCAGUGAUGGUCCGUGCUGCUUCCUUCGUAACCCGGACGUGUGCCGGCGCGGUCGUCGUCAAACUUUGCACGCCUCCAGGGGUUGAUGUAGUCGGGCCUCCAAUACUCCCUCCUCGUUCCGUGAAGCACGCCGGGGGACGCUGGAUGACGCCUCCCCAGCGCGGCCAAGUCUCGGGCCUCCAGCAGCUCCCGCCGAAUUCCUAGUGGGGUGGGCCUGAGUGGAUGUUUGGGAUGCGCCCGCGUGGUUCCCCCAUUGUAGCCCCUGGCGAUGCAGGCUGACGAGCGUUGUUCCCGCGGGGGCGCGCUUGGGUCUCGCCGGCGACGUCGCGCCCAAGAGCGCGCCUAUGCCUGUCGACGCGACGGUGACGGGCGGCGUGUCGGCGCGUGAGCUCAUGCGCCACCAGGAGCGCGACAUGUAUGUGCGUCAGGUGUUGACAGACUGGGAAGGGGUGGACAGCCUGGACGCGUGGAAGGGUCGGGCGACAGGGGAAUGCCAUGUGGUUGGUGAAGGCGGCAGCCCCCGGCGCUCGUUGGAAGCCUAUCCGGUGUGGACGUCGGGGGAUGGGGUGGCGGAGCGUCGCCGGGCGUCCCAGCCCGCCUGCGUCGGCUGCACCACGCGAGCGGCCCGCCUCUAUUCGCGGAUUGUCGUCUCCCUACCAUGAGUGUGACUAGCAUCAGCAGGCCGAGCCUUGGGAGAUACCUUGACACACCCCCUACCUGGCGCGCCAAAUGUCGAAUUUCGAGCUCCGCAAAACCCUAAAGAUUCGAACUCAGGGGCGUGUACGAAGAUGUCUCUAGGGCUCGCCUCACCUAACUCACUACUCGCUGGGGAUGGCAUAGAACUCACUCGAUGGUGAGGAAGACACAGAACACGGCAGUUUACCCAGGUUCGGGCCGCUAAGAAGCGUAAUACCCUACUCCUGCUUUGGUGGAUCGCCUCUCGUGGAGGUUGGUGGAUGAAAUAGUACAGUGUUCGAGAACCUCCGGAGGCUGGGUGGCCUUUGUGUUAUGUCGGUUGGUGAAUGAAUGCAUCCCCCUCCUCUACAAAGUAACCUAUCCGCUAUAUAGCGGCGGCCCGAGUCCUCUUCCCUUAUCGCAUGGGCGGGAAGGGAUCCCACAACGACCAAUUUUGAAGAGGAACAGGGGAACGUGCUCCCCCUGUCCAAAGGUGGUCUUCGCCUGCAAAGUGGCUGCGAGUUCUGCAGGGACGGGUCCAGGGAUGAUGUUUGUCCUGCUGGCGGGCGGCGAUGGCCUUGUUGCACCAGAAUGGAAACCUUCGGAAGAUGCCUCGGGAACCCGCGUACGUCCUUCCCUCCUUUGCUCGAAAAGGGGAACUACACCGUCUUGCAAUCCGCUGCUCGUCUAUCCUUUCCCUGCGUCAUCCUUGACCCUGAGGCCAGGUCUUGCCUCGAAAUCUCCGCCACUCCGAAGGGAUCCUGAGGAGGCCUCCCGUGGGUCUUGAUGAUGUUCCUCCUCGCGAGGCUUGGCCCCUCGCGAGGGCCUUGCCUUGGGUGGUGUCAGGCCUGUUGGUUUUUGAUCGAUGAAGUGGGCCAGCCCUGGGCCGUAGGCAGGCAGGUCUGGGUACCCCCGUUCCCAGAACGCCGACAGAUUUCACCGCUGAUCUGGAUCAUCAUUUCAAGGCGCAUGGUGAGAACCUGCUCCAAGCCGUCGACAAGCUCAUCCAAGCCAACAACACCACCCUCUACAGGUUGCUAAUGGCCCGUGUCGUGGGGUGCGGGAGGAGCUUGCACUCGAGCACGAGGCCGUUCAUGCCGACUGGCCGAAGGAACCGCCUGGGCGCAACGAUGCUUCAGCUACUCAACUGGUUGGGGGUGGUCGCAACUCUGCCGCCGACUCCCUUGGCUUCGACCAGGAUCACCAGGGGAAGGCACAUGCUCCGUAUGUACCUCCUCCGAUCAGGGGUGCGCGAAAUUCAGUUUUCCCUAUUUGCCCUUCCUCUACUAUGCGUGAUUUGCCUUACCCAGAUGUUGCCGAUACGUUAUCUUUGGUGUUCGAGUGGAUCUCCCACGUUUUGAUGGUGCGAAUCACCGGCUCUGGAAAACUCGGUGUGAGGAUCAGUUCCGACUCUGGUGUACUCCUCAGCAUCGAUGGGCUUCGCUAGCAACAUCUCAAUUUGAAGGUGCAGCUGCUCGGUGGCUAGAAUCGAUGCAACGUCAUUGUCCUCAAGCUUCCUGGUCUGAAUUCUGUUCAAGUUUGCAUAGCCGAUUUGGUCGUAAUCAGCAUCGGACUGUGCUACGUCAAUUGUUCCGUAUUUCCCAAACUAGUACUGUUGUUGAUUAUGUGGAUAGAUUUGCUGAUUUAUAUGAUCAAUUAUCUGCUUAUGAGGAAGCUCCUAACCAUCUCCAUUACACUACUCGAUUCUUAGACGGCCUGAAGCCUGGUGUCCAUGUGGCUGUUGCUCUGUAGAAACCAAGGACUUGGAUACGGCAUACGAUUUGGCACUGUUACAUGAGGAGCUUGGUGGUGGUUUUACAUCUCUGCACAAUUCUACAGGCCAGAGAUCAGGUGCUCUUCCACUUCCUCUUCCACCCAAAGCAAGUUUUGCUGAUAACAAACGAGCACCUAAAACUACGAAAAUUGUUCCAUCUGAUGAUAAGUGGUCUGCAUUACGUGCUUAUCGAAAGUCGAAGGGGCUCUGCUUUGUGUGUGGCAAAAUAUGGUCUAAGGAUCAUAUGUGCAAAUCAUCAGUUCAAUUACAUCUGGUUCAGGAGUUGAUUGAUCACAUUCAGGUAGAAGAAGCCAUAGAUACAGCCUCUACAACUGAUCAAGAGCGCCUGUGUGUUUUUAGUAUGAAUAUGUCAGCUGCUGUUAUGGGAAAACAGUCUAAUGCACCAACUCCGCAGUUGUUAAUUGAGACGCAAGGAAUGGAAUUAGUAUUUCUGGUAGUACACAUUCAUUUAUAGACAGUGCCCUACAACAUAGAUUGACCAAGGUUCAACAGACUUCUUCUGUGUGAGUAUCUGUAGCUGGUGGAGGUCAAUUGCAAUGUGAUGCAGUGUUAUCCAAGAGCUUGUGGAAAUGUGGAUCAGUUCAGUUCACUAGUGACUUCAGAUUGCUCCCAUUAGCAAGCUACGAUGGUAUUAUUGGGUUAGAAUGGCUUGCUCAACACAGUCCAAUGCAGGUUGAUUGGGUCCACAAGUGGAUGUCUUUUCAGUAUCAAGGUGAAGUGGUUACUUUGCAAGGCUUGUUACCUAAAGAUGUGGUUGUCAUAGUGUUUUCUGUUUCAUUGAUAAGACCUGUUGAGAAGCAAGUUCAACAUCCAGAACUGCAAGUGCUGUUGGAUAAACAUGCAGUGGUGUUUGAAACCCCAACUACUUUACCUCCUAGAAGACUUAAAGACCAUACAAUUCCUUUGAUUCCAGGUGCAAGGCCAGUCUCCGUUAGACCCUAUAGGAUUGCUCCUCAUUUGAAGGAUGAGUUGGAAAAGCAGAUCAAGGAAAUGCUAGCAUCAGGGAUGAUCGGGCAUAGUAGCAGUGCCUUCUCUUCUCCUGUUGGUCAAGAAGAAAGAAGGGACUUGGAGAAUGGUCAUUGACUAUAGACAACUCAAUGCUAUCACGGUGAAAAGCAAAUACCCAGUUUCCAUUAUAGAUGAACUUCUGGAUGAAUUAGCAGGAGCCUGUUGGUUUUCCAAACUGGAUCACAAAGCUGGCUAGCAUCAAAUUAGAAUGGCACCUCGGGAAGAGUACAAAACAGCAUUCCAGACCCAUAAUGGACAUUAUGAAUUCAAUGUGAUGGGCAUGGGUUUGACGGAACUAUGAAUUAUGAUCUUGCUCUUGUGCUGAGAAGAUGUGCAGUAGUUUUUUUAUGAUAUCUUGGUCUUCACUAAAACAUUGUAAGAACAUUGGGAUGAUCUGGAUGAAGCUUUGUCCAUCUUAAACAAGGAACAAUGGAAGGUGAAAAUAUCCAAAUGUGACUUUGCUCAACCUCAAAUUGCUUAUCUAGUGCAUGUUAUUUCUACAGUUAUCCUGACAAACUUUUAGCUGUCCAACAUUGACAUGUUCAAAAGAAUGUUAAGUUAGUCAGGGGAUUCCUUGGAUUGAGUGGAUAUUACAGGAAAUUUUUCCAGCAUUAUGGCAUUAUUGCUAGACCUUUAACUGAAUUGCUUAAGAAGGGGACUCCUUUUGUUCAGACCAGUAUCACACAGGAGGCCUUUGUGACACUUAAACAAGCCUUAAUAUCAGCUAUUGUUUUGGCUUUGCCUGAUUUCACUAAGCCAUGAUAGAGACUGAUGCUUGUGAGUAUGGUAUUGGUGCAGUUUUGAUGCAGCAAGGACAUCCAUUAGCUUUUGUCAGUAAGACUCUGGGUCCCAAAAACAAAGGUUUGUCAGUCUAUGAGAAGGAAUAUCUGGCUAUUCUGCUAGCAAUGGAUAAGUGGAGACCUUACUUGCAAGUACAGUAGUUUGUUAUAAAAGCAGUCAAAAAAAUUGGCCCAUCUGCAGGAUCAGAGGUUGCAUAUAGUUUGGCAACAAAAGUGUCUAACUAAGUUGUUGGGACUAAAUUAUCAAAUUCAAUAUAAACAAGGGAAGGAGAAUAGUGCAGCUAAUUCUUUAUCUAGAAGACAUCCUGAUGAGUCUCAAUUGUUUUCCAUUUCAAGUAGUCACCCAACUUGGAUGGCUGAAAUUGUUGCUAAUUAUGAGGAUGAUGAGAAAGCUUUAGCCCUUAUCCAGCAGUUAGCCAUUGCACCAGCUUUUAAGUCAUCAUAUACUCUUGUUAAUGGAUUGUUGAAAUAUAAACAGAGUAUUUGGGUUGGAGUUGUGCCUGCAUUACAUCAGAAGAUCUUUGCAGCCUUUCAUGAUAGUCAUGUCGGUGGUCAUUCUGGGUUUCCUGUUACCUAUAAGAGAAUCCAUGCACUCUUUUCAUUGGCUAGUAUGAAGAAGUUUAUUUUAUUUCAAGUGCAAUCCUGCCUCAUUUGUCAGAAAGCUAAGCCAGAAAGAGUGGCAUAUCUUGGAUUGUUAUCUCCAUUGCCAGUUCCAAAUAAUACAUGGGAGACUAUUUCUAUGGAUUUUAUCAGUGGACUCCCUCACUCUUCUCAGCAUAAUUGCAUCCUGGUAGUGAUAGAUAAUUCAUCAAAUAUGGGCAUUUCAUAGCUAUGAAACAUCCUUUUAAUGUUCAGAAGGUUGUUGAAGUGUUCCUAGAUAAUGUCUACAAAUUACAUGGGUUGCCCAAGGUGAUUAUCUCUGACAGAGAUCCACUUUUCACAAGUCAAUUUUGGAAAGUGUUGAUCCAUAAAACUGGGACUCAGUUGAAUAUGAGCACAGCUAACAGAAAAGGUGAAUCAACAAGUUAAAUGCUAUUUGAGAUGUUUCAUAAGUGCCCAUCCUCACAAGUGGAGUAAAUGGUUGCCACUUUGUGAAUUUUGGUACAAUUCCAAUUGGCACUCUGGCCUAGGUAAAUCUCCAUUUGAAGUGUUGUAUGGAUAUACACCUAAAUACUUUGGCAUCAGUGAAUCAGAUACUAUUGCUCUAGUGGAAAUGCAAGAGUGGCUACAGGCUAGGAAGCUAGUAACUGAAACAACUAGGCAACAUUUAUUGGAACUCAUCAACGAAUCAAGAAUCAAGGAGAUAAAAAUAGAACUGAAAGAUCUUUCCAGGUUAGUGAUUCAUUUUUUUCUCAAAUUGCAACCGUAUGCUCAGACAUCUGUUUACUCCAGGCAAAAUCAGAAACUUGCAUUCAAAUUCUUUGGCCCAUUUCCAGUUGUGGAGAGAAUUGGUGAAGUGGCUUACAGGUUGGAUCUUCCAGAGGGCAGUCGUAUCUAUCCAGUUUUUCAUGUUUCGCAACUCAAGUGUUUCCUUCCUCGUGAAACCAAGGUGCAGUCAAGUUCACCAUCUCACCAUGUUGCCCUGCAAGUUCCUGUUCAGAUUUUGCAGCGCCGGAUGCGACAACUGGGCAAUAAAACAGUGACCCAGUCUUGGUUCGAUGGUCUAAUUCAUCAUCACAGGAUGAUUCAUGGGAGGACUUGGAGUUCCUGCACCAUCCAUUUCCUGGUGCACCUGCUUGGGGACAAGCCGCUUCUCAAGGAGGGGGGAUGUCAACACUGUGGGUACUACUGAAGCUAGUGGAGAGGUUCUGAAGGCGGCGACCACAGCAGUGGCGACUGACGAAGCUAGCGACGAAGUUAUUCAGAGAAAGGACGCGCCAAUGUUUGAACCUGCUAGUGGCCCAGGACGACGGCUCGCUCGCGACGCGACCCGGCACAAGUGGCACACCGGCCCUGAAUGGGUUUGUACUUAAGACAACGUUAGCGUUCUGUUAGAGUGGUUGGGACGGCGGCUUCGUCCGAGACACUGUUGUAAUUCGAAUUUCUCCAUGACGCUGUGAGGGUGGUUGGGAGGAAAUCACACGCGACGUCAUUGCCACGAAUCUAUCUAGUUCUUCGAUUGAGCCCUAUCUUACAAUACGUCUCCUCUUCUUCUGCCUCUAAUGCACCCUGAUCAAUCGCUUCUUUUGUCUCUAAUGCACCCUGAUCAAUCACUUUAUCAAGAUAGAUACUGCAGCCCUCGAACCAUGAGAUCUAUCGAGCAAUUUCUGCAACAAAUUAAGUAGAGUUUACCCAGAAUCCCAACCCGUAUGUUUCUCCCCUCUCCUGUAAAUCUCCACAACAAUAAGUAUAACAGUCAAUAUAUAUGGACACAGCUGCAUGAGGGCAAAUCAAGGAAAAACAGAAAAACACAUCAAUCAGGUUGCUUGUUCAAUAUACACACCUUCACAAACAUUAUCUUCUCCUUUUCAUAUUUUCUUUCUAGCACAUAAUAAGCACCAUCAUCCAUAUUUCAAAGUCCUGAUUGUUAAUUUUGCAUGUGUGUGUGGCAAUCUGGAUUCAGCAAAAGCUCUGAAUCCUUUCCUGGGAAUCUUAGUGUUAUCAUAGAUUCUUCCCUGCUAAAGAAUACUUGUUGGAAAUAAGAAACACAAGAGGUUUUAUAUGCUAAUAAUAAUAUGCUACAGAAAUACAAAAACCAGAAAUGAGAUGACCAAAAAAAAUGAGCUUGUAGUAUAAAUACCAACUGCAACUACCAACUACAAACGCCUUGUCCCAGCUUAUCAGGAAAUCAUCUUCUCAAGCGUAUAGUACAAAAACCAAAUACUUUGUAGAAGCAUAUAUAUGCACCCCCCCCCCUAUAUUUUAAUAUAAAUGCACCGUAAUUUUACGCCCCGCAAAUUUUAUUUUAUUUAAUACGUAAAAUAAUGAUGGUAAGAAAAUAUAUAAUGGCCAUAAAAAUAUUUUAUGUUACGUAAAAUCACAAACGUAAAAACAUAGUGUAUAAUAUGCACAAAAUGCUAUUUUCCUGGUCUUAUGACCUAUAUAUUUGUUUUCUUAUGCCAAAUUUUACGCAGUGAAUCAAUAUGAAUAUAACUAUUUAUAUUGCAAAUAUAAUUUAUUUAUAGAAGGAUCGUAAAAUUACCUUGGAUAAAGAAUAACUUAAGAGAGAGAGAAAGGCUCAAUGGCAAUGGGCAUAUGUGCAGUAGAGCCGUAACCUUAAAUAUUGUUGCCAUGCUUAUCUGCACUAAAAAGGAUAAAGAGUGACCCUGACCCAUGUGCAUUGAGGGGUACACCAAAGUUAGUCAUAUGCCUAAGCUUGGUUUGUGGAAAAGGAAAAAAACAAUUAUUUAUUGUAGGAACGGGGGAGAGAGGAGUACCUCCAGCACAAGUGUUUUGUGCGUGGCGGCUGUCUCAGGAACGGGAGAUGGCUGGGAGCCUCCUUUUAGGUUAGUCCCACUACAUGGGCCUGGGCCCUAAGAGAUAACUUGUAUGGGCUGGGCCAUACCAGUUCAACACUUCCCCUCAAGAUGGGUGGUAGAUAUCUAUCAUUCCCAUCUUGUCACAUGCCAAGUUACAAUCCUUUCUUCCCAGACCCUUUGUCAAACAAUCUGCAAACUGCUGCCCAGAACUGACAUGAGUAAGGCUGAUGACCCCGGCAUCAAGCUUCUCCUUAAUGAAGAACCGAUCAAUUUCCACAUGCUUUGUCCUAUCAUGUUGAACUGGGUUAUUAGCGAUGGCUAUAGCUGACUGAUUGUCACACCACACCUUCAAGGGCCCCUUCCUCAGAAGUUUCAACUCGCUCAGUAGGUACUUCACCCAGAGCAUCUCACACAACCCUUGAGAUAAUGCUCUAUACUCAGCUUCUGCUGUUGAUCUAGACACAACCGGCUGUUUCUUGCUUCUCCAUGAUACCAAAUUUCCUCCCACAAACACGCAGUAACCAGAAGUUGAUCUUCUAUCAUCUUGACAACUGGCCCAGUCAGAGUCACUAUAGCCAUCCACCUCAAGAUGUCCACUCUUCCCAAACCACAACCCUUUACCCGGAGUCCCCUUCAAGUAUCUCAGGAUUCUGUGCACAAUAUCAAGAUGCCCACUCCUUGGUUCAUGCAUGUAUCUGCUCACCACCCCCGUAGCAUACGUAAUGUCAGGCCUGGUAUGACACAAGUACAACAACCUUCCAACCAGUUUCUGAUACUCUUCCUUAUUCACUAGCUCUCCUGAUUGUGCUGUCACUUGGUGAUUUUUUUCAAUCGGAGUAGGGGCAGUACGACAUCCCAUCAUGCCCACGUCACUCAAGAGAUCCAAGGUGUAUUUUCGUUGGCACAAAGAGAUUCCCUUCUCUGUCCGAGCCACUUCAAUGCCAAGAAAGUAUUUUAGGUUACCCAAAUCCUUUACCUCAAACUCCUUGCUCAAACAACCCUUCAAUCUCUCUAUUUCCUCCUCAUCAUCUCCAUCUCCAGUGAUGAUAAUGUCAUCCACAUAAACAGCAAGAAUGGUGAUCUUCCGAUCAGAGUGCUUGUAGAACAUCGUGUGGUCACCGUUACACUGACCAUACCCCAUACCACGGACAGCACGUCUGAACCUAUCAAACCAGGCCCUUGGUGAUUGCUUCAGUCCAUACAAGGAUUUCUUCAGCCUGCAUACCUUCCCCGUAGUCUCUGAAGUACCAAAACCUGGUGGUAUUUCCAUGUAGACUUCUUCUUGCAACUCACCAUGCAAGAGGGCAUUUUUGACAUCUAAUUGAUGCAACUUCCACCCAAAGUUUGCAGCACAGGAGACCAAUAUCCUUACUGUGUUCAUCUUUGCCACGGGAGCAAACGUCUCAUCAUAGUCAAUUCCAUAAGUUUGACUAUAUCCUCUGGCGACCAAUCUGGCCUUAUACCGUUCCACCUUCCCUUCAGGAUUCUGCUUCACUACAUAGAUCCACUUACAACUCACUGCUUUCUUUUCUGUCGGCAAUGUGGUUAGCACCCAUGUCUUGUUUUUCCUUAGUGCUUCCAACUCUUCUAUCAUCGCUUCACGCCACCUCGGAUCUUGCUUUGCAGCCUUCCAAUCCUUUGGAAUUGACACAGUUUGAAGGGAGGCAACAAACGCCUUAUAUGUGGGUGACAAAGCCUUAUAAGACACAAAAUUGCCAAUAUCAAGAUCAUCACAAGCAUCAUCCUUCGGUAGAGCCUUCCUUGCUACUUCACCCUUUCUUGCCGCUUCACGUGUAGCCUUUCGCAAUGCAAUGGGCAGCUCCACUGUGUCAGAUGAGCUCGUCUCACUAUCUUGCUGCUCCCCCUGCACUCUUGCCUCACUGUCUUGCUGCUCCCCUUGCACGUGUGGUUGCCGUCGAGAGUACACUAGGGUGUUCGUCUGCCAUCGAUCCCGAACAGGAACCCGAAGAGCACCAAUCUUAAGUGUAUCGACGGUUGGCUCGACAGGAACCUGCACAUCAUCAUCAGUGAGAGUACUAACCGGAAUUGUUCCCACUGUUGGUUGGACCUGAACUUGCACAUCAUUAGCAGUGUUAUUGCCCACAGAAUCACCCUGAGUAUGAGACACAUCCUUCUCCCCCUCUUGACCAUCGUGCACAUGAUGUAGGUGGUCAAGCUCUGCAAAUAGCAGACUGAGAUCAGUCGGCGUACCAUAGAAUGGCUCGGACUGCCUGAAGAUAACAUCCAUACUCACGAACCUGCGUUUUUCAGAGGGAGACCAACAUUUAUACCCCUGCUGACUAGAAGAGUAUCCCAGGAAGACACACUUCACUGCCCGAGGAUCAAGCUUUCCAACAUAUGGUCGGUGAUCACGAACAAAGCAAGUACUGCCAAACAACUUUGGGGAAACAACAAACUUAUUAUCUCCAAUGAGCAACUCAGACGGAGAUUUCAUACCUAAUAUCCUGGAAGGUGUCCGGUUGAUCAGGUACGUGGCUGUCAUAACUGCUUCAUCCCAUAAGAACUUAGGCACAUUCAUGGUAAACAUUAAUGACCGAGCAACCUCAAGAAUAUGACGAUUCUUCCUUUCGGCCACUCCAUUCUAAGGUGGGGUGUCCGGACAUGAAGUUUGAUGAAGAAUCCCUUGGUUAGCCAUGAAAUCCCCAAAAAUAUUGUUCACAUACUCUGUACCAUUGUCAGUCCUGAGCACGUUGACCUGCACCUGAAACUGGUUCUUUACAAGAGCAUGGAAGUUCUGAAAACAGCUAAACACCUCAUCCUUGUGACGCAUCAAGUAAAUCCAAGUCAUACGAGAAUAGCAGUCAAUAAAGGUAACAAGAUACUUCUUUCCAUUCAUUGACACUACUGGGCUAGUCCAUACAUCCGAAUGAAUGAGCAUAAAAGAAGAUAUGCUCCUAAGCCCCUUACUCACAUAUGAGGCUCGUGUGUGUUUUGCAUAUUCGCAAGCAUCACAUGUCAACUUGCCAUUGCCUAUUCCACACAUAACAUCCGGAAAGAUUCUACUCAUCUUAUCAAAAGAUACAUGACCCAUUCUACAAUGAUGGAUCAUCGUCUGCUUCUCCUUGUCCUCCAUGGUCGCAGCACACACCAAGUUCGGUUGCACCUCCUGGUCCAUGUACCAGAGCCCCCUACGCCUGGUGCCAGUCUCAACCGUCUGGCUCGUCUAUCCCUCCUGAAUCAAGCAACCGAACUUGUCAAGGAUCACACGACAGUCUAUUUGAUCAAUGAGAGCACUGAAAGAGACCAAAUUGACAGGAAAAGUUGGCACAUGCAAAACUGACGAUAAUGAGAUGGUUGAAGUGCAUGUGACUGUGCCAACCCCUACGACAGGCUGAUUAAUACCAUCGGCAGUUUGUACAGUGCCCUUGUGAGUAGGAGCAUGCUUAUGGUAAGACUCAAACACACACGAAUUACCCGCAACAUGCUUAGAUGCUCCAAAGUCUAAGACCCACUCUAAAGCACUCUCAUUAGGAGGAAGACAUGCCUUCAUCGAAUUACCUUCAUCAGUGGAGGCCCAGUGAGCAAAGUCUCCAUAGGCCGCCUCAUCAACUCCCUUGCCCUGUGACGUCCCAGUGUCCUCUUCAACUACCAUAUGCGCCCUGCCCCCUAAGUUUCCUGAGUAGCCACCUCUGCCCCUAGAAAGUUGACCCCCUGAGUUCCAUGGGUAUCCACCUCUGCCUCGAGCAUACCUUCCUCUGCCAGUGCCCCCUCUGUUGUAUCCCCUGCCUCUACCACGAGUUGGACAUUCCCUCUUCCAAUGACCUACCUCCCCACAAAUAUGACAUUUGUUGGGAUCUCCCCACUCCAUGCGCUCAGUGACUGCAAAUGUCGAAGCUGGCACAAACUUCACGUUUGCAUGCGCAAGAGAUAGCCUCACCUCCUCUUGAGACAUUGCUGCAAUAGUCUCCUCAAUAGUUGGCAGGAGAGGUUGGUGCAACAGGGAAGCCCCCCUGCCAUGAAAGCAACCUCUGAGGCCUUCCAACAGUUUCAGCACGCGCCUGCGUGCAAUCCACUUGCGCCCUGACUCGAUGCACGCCGCAUCAUAGAGUUCCAGAGGAUCACAGUUAUCCUGCUCUGCCCACAAAGCCUGCAGCUCUGCUACAUAUGUCAUCACUGACAUGUCAUCGCCUUGGCGCAGCCGACUGAUCUUCCCCUCAAUCUGAGCAAUUAGCAUGAAAUUACCCUUGCCUGAGUAUUGGGUGGAUAGAGUCUUCCAUAUCUCGGCGGACGUGGAUAGUCCCUCCACAGAGCGACCAAUGGAGGGCACCACUGAGUUCAACAACCAGCCAACAAGCACAGAGUUUAUGACCUUCCACCGCUUUCCCUCCGCGGUAGUCUUGUCUCCGGGUUCAUCAACCGCACCCAAUAAGUGCCCAUCAAGUUCCUUCUGUUCCACAGCCAGCAAUGCCCUUCUGGACCAGCUCAAAUAAUUUGUGGCCCCCUCUAGCUUCAUGUCCAGGGGUGACAUUUCGAGCUUCUGAGCCACUUCCUGUCGAGGAACGAUGGCCCCAGAGUUGGAGUUGGACUCCGUGAGGAUCUUAGCGAGCUUCUCGAAAGCCUCAGCAAGCGCAUUUGGUUCAGCCAUCUCCGAUCCGGUAAACAGCAGCAGCAGCCCUCAGCAGCACAGCCCUACAGCUGCACGGUUGGUCCCUUUACACCCCCUGGCUAGCAGCAGCACCCAGCAACUCAGCAGCUCCAAGUGCAAGCAGCAACCACAGCCUCUUCCUCCAGCAGCAGUUCUCUCCCUUCUUCCUCUGCAAACAGCAGCAGUUCUCUUCCUCCUUCCUCUGCAAACAACAGCAGUUCUCUUCCUCCUUCCUCUGCAAACAGCAGCAGUUUCAGAGGAUCUUGGCCUCCAACAGCAGCCAACCCCCGCAGCAGUUCUCCAGCUCCCGGUCCCUGCAGACACACGCACACACACCAGCACAACAAGGAGCUGCCCUUCUCCACUACCCUUCUCCUCUUCUCCUCCCGCAGCACCACAGCCCGUUGGAGACCAAGCCGCUCCUCAGCUUCCUCCUCCUGCCGCGCAACACAGCAGCUCCACCUCUCCUUCUUCCUCUGCCGUGCAGCACAGCCUCCACCUCUCCUUCCUCUCCAACGAGCCGCACCUCCUGCGCAGCCACGCCACGCCUCCCAGAUCCGCCGCUGCCUCGCCGGACGCCGCCCAGAUCCAACGCCACCUCGCCGGACGUCGCCGUCGUCUUCUCAGGCCCCGCCGUCGCUGGCUCUGAUACCAUGUAGGAACGGGGGGAGAGAGGAGUACGGGAGGGAGAGAGGAGUACCUCCAGCACAAGUGUUUUGUGUGUGGCGGCUGUCUCAGGAACGGGAGAUGGCUAGGAGCCUCCUUUUAGGUUAGUCCCACUACAUGGGCCUGGGCCCUAAGAGAUAACUUGUAUGGGCUGGGCCAUACCGGUUCAACAUUUAUGUGCCUAACACACCAGCAAAUCAAAUGCAGCCUCCACUACAUGUCAAUAGUUCCAUGAAAAAAACAAAAAAAACUAAUACGAUAUUUAAUUGUAAGCAUACAACAAAUAGUACCACUCUAAAUCUGGUGUCGCCAUUCCUCAAAACAGAAAUUUUCAACCUUUCUUUUUUUUUAAAUUACAAUAAAGAGUAUCAAUGUUUAAGUUUCUAAGAAAAAAAGGAGAAGAAAAGUUUAGAACCAUGGGUUCAAUAUGAGAUUAGAACUACAGCCACCAUGCGAGUAGCCGAGGAUAGGGAAAUGUUGACAAUAUUAGAGCAUGUUUACGUCAGGAUAAAAUGUUGUCAAAAUUAUUCAUCUAGUUCAAUUAAGUUCUAUGAUGUAUAAAGUAUGUACUUGGCAAGAAAAAUACAAGGGGUUACCUGGAUAUAUGAUGCUGCAGUACACAUAUAUUUAUCUAACUAAAAUUAAGCCCACCACUUCCCGCUCUCAUAUUACUUCAGAAUCAUCAGUAUGAGAAAACAUUGAUACCCAUUACUUUAUACUGAUAAACUCCAUGCUCCGAGACAAGGUUGCACACGUCAUCGCCGACAAUUCCCUUCUCUUCUCGAAUCAACAUAUAACCAUGUUUUUAUCUUACAAGAGAAGGGAAUCCUCGCAAUCUGCUAGAUACAACAAGGUACUUUUGUAUGACGUGCCUGAGCCAUCAAUUUGCCGGUCCUUUUCUUCCUGAAACCAACAGAGACAACACCGACUGAUUUUCCAGCACGCAAUAGCUUCCCCUCAACUUCUAUUUCUUCCUGUAAAAAUAAAAGAAAUAGUUUACGGCAUGUCAAAUAACUAUUAAAAUAACAUAAGAGUGAAAAGACAAAGGUAUGUACAAAAUUAAUCAAGCCUUAUGAUGCUAUUCUAGCAAGAAACUGGCCAAAUCUGCCCUUUGGGGGGUAGGGGUGGGGGCAAAAAUUAUGAGAAAAGAUAACGCCCAUAUGUGUGGGUGUUUGCAAACCGUCCACACGCAUGAAUCUGCGUCUGUUUGUGCUUUGCAUUAAUCUUGGUAUUUUUUGAUAGUUUUUCUGUACCACGUAGGACUGAACUGGUGUGUCGGUAUUUAACCACUUCGCCCACACGGCCGUUUCUUUCUCAGCAGGAAUCUUUUUUGGUUUUCGGUUUAAAAAUGUUUUAUCAUGACAACUUCAGUGUAACAUCAUGACAACUGUUGAAGCACCCAUUUUUUUAAAUGUAACAUCAUGGCAACUGUUGUAACAUCAUGAAAUUUUUUUAAAUGUAGAAGAAAAAAUAGGUGAAACAUAUCAUGGCAACUUCAGUGUAAACACCAUGGCAUGGCAACUACAGUGUAACAUCAUGGCAACUGUUGUCCAAAAAAAUAAUUUAUCGAAAUAUAUUGAUAUGAGAUCUAGUUUCGAAGAUCUCGUCGCGAUGGAUUUAAUGAUAAAAACGGAUCUUCAAUCGGAUUUUUCAUUUACAAGAUAAAACAUUUUAAAAACUCAAAAUCCAAAAAGAUACCCACAUGCAUACAUGUGGUUUGGGCGUUAGCUAUUUUGCCCACACUCAGGCGUGUGAGCUAUUUCUCUUACACACCACACAAGAUGUAUGGGCAACACCCCUUAACACCCAGACGUGUGGGUGUUAUCAGGACCCAAAAUUAUAACCAAGCAACCUGAAAAGUACGUUUGGAUUUUUCAGAGCAAUAUUUGGACAACAUGACAAUAACUAUGAUCCUGAACUAAUUCUAGGAACCUCUUCAGAGCAAUAUCUGAACAAGAUGACAAUAAUUCAGAUCCUAAACUUAUUCUAGGAAACAUUUUGUACCCAGCUCCAGUCUGUAUUGAGCGAGUCAAAGGAAACAAAAAAUGAAUAACACCGUGUAAAUGCAGGCGCACUGAAUUCAACCAUCUUUUCUAAUUAGUACACACUUAUAUUCCUAUAAUAUUAAAAUGACUGGACGGUAAGAAGUGGUGGACCUUUUAUCUUGCCAAUUGAGAAAUAUUCAGUCGAGUAACAGACAAAAAAGAUCUCCACAUUUGAUCUGAACCAAUGAGAAAAGAGGGUCGUGUAUUUAACAUAGGUUCUGAAGUACGAGAAGAAUGCUCACCAAUUUGUUUCAGAUUCGAACUGAAUGCAUAAUAUCUUAGAUCGCGCAACCUAAGGUAAUGCAAAGAAAUAAAAUCAUACUAUUUAGGCAAUCCAAAUAGGCAUUGUAUGUACAGAAAAAUCAAAGGCGAAAUAGCAAAACAUCCAUGAAACUAAGCCAGUCACAUGAUGAUCAUAUUAAUGUCCACCUACAGCGGCCAAGUUUAGAAACCCCAAACGAGUGAGCAGAUGAAGCCAAGAAAAAGAAACACACUGAAGGGGAUCGGGAGACAGGGCCACCUACAUCGACCAAGUUUAGAAACCCCAAACAUGUGAGCAGAUCAAGCCAAGAAAAAAAAACACGAAAGGAGAUCGGGAGACACGACGGAGACCUUGAGGCGGGAAAGAGAGAUGGAGCGGGGUCGGGCUGCUUCUUCCCCUUACCUCUGCCCUCCCCCAUCUUCCCCACAAACCCCACAGCUGCUGCGUUGCUAGGCAUGGAGGGAGAGAGGAGCAGCAAAAGCAAGGACGCGGCGAGGAGGCAAAAACAGGCGGCGGACCUCCUUCAUCUUCCUUCCCCGUACCCGCACCCCACCGUCACUGGAGCUGCUCUUUUCCGGCUCGGAUCCGUUGUCUAGGUGUGUUUAUUUAGACUAACAUAGAUACUAGUAACAUAGAUGCC
Molecule: long non-coding RNA, 34991 nt
Filed under: Hordeum vulgare
Lineage: Eukaryota; Viridiplantae; Streptophyta; Magnoliopsida; Poales; Poaceae
Description: long non-coding RNA (HVUL_LNC010104)
Source: RNAcentral